RNAcentral lists this ribosomal RNA (305 nucleotides) under uncultured bacterium. Its description in RNAcentral is "bacterial SSU rRNA". It matches the Rfam family "Bacterial small subunit ribosomal RNA", at positions 338 to 640 of the family's 1533-position model. The record is from RNAcentral.
CCUACGGGGGGCAGCAGUGAGGAAUAUUGGUCAAUGGGCGGGAGCCUGAACCAGCCAAGUCGCGUGAGGGAAGACGGUCCUAUGGAUUGUAAACCUCUUUUGUCGGGGAGCAAAGAGGCCACGUGUGGUCAAAAGCGAGAGUACCCGAAGAAAAAGCAUCGGCUAACUCCGUGCCAGCAGCCGCGGUAAUACGGAGGAUGCGAGCGUUAUCCGGAUUUAUUGGGUUUAAAGGGUGCGUAGGCGGGACGGUAAGUCAGCGGUAAAAUCGUGGGGCCCAACCCCAUCCCGCCGUUGAAACUGGCGGG